AGAGUUUGAUCAUGGCUCAGGACGAACGCUAGCGGCGUGCCUAAGGUAUGCAAGUCGAACGGGGAAGAGGGCUUGCCCUCUUCCUAGUGGCGAACGGUCGCGUAACACGUAGACAACCUGCCCUCGGGUGGGGGAUAACAGCUCGAAAGGGCUGCUAAUACCGCAUGUUGGUGGGGCGUGGCAUCACGCUCUGACUAAAGGGAGCUUGCUCUCGCCAGGGGAUGGGUCUGCGGCCUAUCAGGUAGUUGGUGGGGUAACGGCCUACCAAGGCGACGAUCGGUAGCUGGUCUGAGAGGACGGCCAGCCACACGGGGACUGAGACACGGCCCCGACUCCUACGGGAGGCAGCAGCAAGGAAUCUUGGUCAAUGGGCGCAAGCCUGAACCAGCGACGCCGCGUGGGGGAUGACGGCCCUCGGGUUGUAAACCCCUUUUGCGUGGGACGAAGUUCUGACGGUACCACGCGAAUCAGCCACGGCUAACUACGUGCCAGCAGCCGCGGUAAUACGUAGGUGGCAAGCGUUGUCCGGAUUUACUGGGCGUAAAGCGCGCGCAGGCGGUUCACUCAGUCCGGCGUGAAAGCUCCCGGCUCACCUGGGAGAGGGCGUGGGAUACUGGUGGACUGGAGGCAGGCAGAGGCCGGUGGAAUUCCCGGUGUAGUGGUGAAAUGCGUAGAGAUCGGGAGGAACACCCGUGGCGAAGGCGGCCGGCUGGGCCUGUCCUGACGCUGAGGCGCGAAAGCGUGGGGAGCGAACCGGAUUAGAUACCCCCGUAGUCC
RNAcentral lists this ribosomal RNA (777 nucleotides) under uncultured Chloroflexota bacterium. Its description in RNAcentral is "bacterial SSU rRNA". It matches the Rfam family "Bacterial small subunit ribosomal RNA", at positions 8 to 796 of the family's 1533-position model. The record is from RNAcentral. Lineage: Bacteria; Bacillati; Chloroflexota.